RNAcentral lists this ribosomal RNA (440 nucleotides) under uncultured bacterium. RNAcentral describes it as "partial 16S ribosomal RNA". It matches the Rfam family "Bacterial small subunit ribosomal RNA", at positions 338 to 795 of the family's 1533-position model. The record is from RNAcentral.
CCUACGGGUGGCAGCAGUGGGGGAUAUUGCACAAUGGGGGGAACCCUGAUGCAGCGACGCCGCGUGGGUGAAGAAGCGCCUCGGCGCGUAAAGCCCUGUCAGCAGGGAAGAAAAUGACGGUACCUGAAGAAGACGCCCCGGCUAACUCCGUGCCAGCAGCCGCGGUACUACGUAGGGGGCAAGCGUUAUCCGGAUUUACUGGGUGUAAGGGGGGCGCAGACGGCGAUGCAGGCCAGGAGUGAAAGCCCGGGGCCCAACCCCGGGACUGCUCUUGGAACUGCGUGGCUGGAGUGCAGGAGGGGCAGGCGGAAUGCCUGGUGUAGCGGUGAAAUGCAUAGAUAUCAGGAGGAACACCGGUGGCGAAGGCGGCCUGCGGGACUGCAACUGACGUUGAGGCCCGAAAGCGUGGGGAGCAAACAGGAUUAGAUACCCGAGUAGUC